RNAcentral lists this ribosomal RNA (429 nucleotides) under Chloroflexota bacterium. Its description in RNAcentral is "Chloroflexi bacterium partial 16S ribosomal RNA". It matches the Rfam family "Bacterial small subunit ribosomal RNA", at positions 355 to 776 of the family's 1533-position model. Lineage: Bacteria; Bacillati; Chloroflexota. The record is from RNAcentral.
UGGGGAAUAUUGCACAAUGGGCGCAAGCCUGAUGCAGCCAUGCCGCGUGUGUGAAGAAGGCCUUCGGGUUGUAAAGCACUUUCAGCGGGGAGGAAGGCGUUAAGGUUAAUAACCUUGGCGAUUGACGUUACCCGCAGAAGAAGCACCGGCUAACUCCGUGCCAGCAGCCGCGGUAAUACGGAGGGUGCAAGCGUUAAUCGGAAUUACUGGGCGUAAAGCGCACGCAGGCGGUCUGUCAAGUCGGAUGUGAAAUCCCCGGGCUCAACCUGGGAAUUGCAUCUGAUACUGGUCAGCUAGAGUCUUGUAGAGGGGGGCAGAAUUCCAUGUGUAGCGGUGAAAUGCGUAGAGAUGUGGAGGAAUACCGGUGGCGAAGGCGGCCCCCUGGACAAAGACUGACGCUCAGGUGCGAAAGCGUGGGGAGCAAACAGG